Molecule: ribosomal RNA, 570 nt
Filed under: Enterococcus faecium
Lineage: Bacteria; Bacillati; Bacillota; Bacilli; Lactobacillales; Enterococcaceae
Description: bacterial SSU rRNA
Rfam family: Bacterial small subunit ribosomal RNA
Source: RNAcentral
UCCAUGUGUAGCGGUGAAAUGCGUAGAUAUAUGGAGGAACACCAGUGGCGAAGGCGGCUCUCUGGUCUGUAACUGACGCUGAGGCUCGAAAGCGUGGGGAGCAAACAGGAUUAGAUACCUUGGUAGUCCACGCCGUAAACGAUGAGUGUUAAGUGUUGGAGGGUUUCCGCCCUUCAGUGCUGCAGCUAACCCAUUAACCAUUCCCCCUGGGGAGUACGACCGCAAGGUUGAAAUUCAAAGGAAUUGACGGGGGCCCGCCCAAGCGGUGGAGCAUGUGGUUUAAUUGGAAGCAACGGGAAGACCCUUACCAGGUCUUGACAUCCUUUGACCACUCUAGAGAUAGAGCUUCCCCUUCGGGGGCAAAGUGCCAGGUGGUGCAUGGUGGUCGUCAGUUCGUGUCGUGAGAUGUUGGGUUAAGUCCCGCAACGAGCGCAACCCUUAUUGUUAGUUGCCAUCAUUCAGUUGGCCAUUCUAGCAAGACUGCCGGUGACAAACCGGAGGAAGGUGGGGAGGACGUCAAAUCAUCAUGCCCCUUAUGCCCUGGGUUACACACGUGUUCCAAUGGGAAGU